CACUCCUGCGGGAGGCAGCAGUGGGGAAUAUUGGACAAUGGGCGCAAGCCUGAUCCAGCCAUGCCGCGUGAGUGAUGAAGGCCCUAGGGUUGUAAAGCUCUUUCACCGGUGAAGAUAAUGACGGUAACCGGAGAAGAAGCCCCGGCUAACUUCGUGCCAGCAGCCGCGGUAAUACGAAGGGGGCUAGCGUUGUUCGGAUUUACUGGGCGUAAAGCGCACGUAGGCGGACUAUUAAGUCAGGGGUGAAAUCCCGGGGCUCAACCCCGGAACUGCCUUUGAUACUGGUAGUCUUGAGUUCGAGAGAGGUGAGUGGAAUUCCGAGUGUAGAGGUGAAAUUCGUAGAUAUUCGGAGGAACACCAGUGGCGAAGGCGGCUCACUGGCUCGAUACUGACGCUGAGGUGCGAAAGCGUGGGGAGCAAACAUGAUUAGAAACCCUAGUAGUCCCA
This 447-nucleotide ribosomal RNA is filed under the name uncultured organism. Its description in RNAcentral is "partial 16S ribosomal RNA". It matches the Rfam family "Bacterial small subunit ribosomal RNA", at positions 334 to 797 of the family's 1533-position model. The record is from RNAcentral.